CGCAUAUUUCGCGGCGGCGGAGCUCGACCGCCCGUUCCGCAAAUGAUCGCGUUCAUCGACAAUCAUCGUGGCGUCUUUGGUGUCGGGCCGAUCUGCCGGGUCUUGGGGAUCGCACCA
Molecule: non-coding RNA, 117 nt
Organism: Sulfitobacter sp. EE-36
Lineage: Bacteria; Pseudomonadati; Pseudomonadota; Alphaproteobacteria; Rhodobacterales; Roseobacteraceae
Source: Rfam